UCCUAGUUUCAUAGGAGCGAACUAGAAAAU
RNAcentral lists this non-coding RNA (30 nucleotides) under Rattus norvegicus (Norway rat). Lineage: Eukaryota; Metazoa; Chordata; Mammalia; Rodentia; Muridae. The record is from RNAcentral.